RNAcentral lists this ribosomal RNA (204 nucleotides) under Gryon sp. D2741. RNAcentral's name for it is "partial 28S ribosomal RNA". It matches the Rfam family "Eukaryotic large subunit ribosomal RNA", at positions 967 to 1163 of the family's 3401-position model. The record is from RNAcentral. Lineage: Eukaryota; Metazoa; Arthropoda; Insecta; Hymenoptera; Scelionidae.
UUUCCCUCAGGAUAGCUGGCACUCGAGUUUAACGAGUCUCAUCUGGUAAAGCGAAUGAUUAGAGGCCUUGGGGCCGAAACGACCUCAACCUAUUCUCAAACUUUAAAUGGGUGAGAUCUCUGGCUUGCUUGAACUAUGAAGCCAUGAGAUCGGAUCAGAGUGCCAAGUGGGCCAAUUUUGGUAAGCAGAACUGGCGCUGUGGGA